GGGCACGUAGCUCAGUCCGGACAGAGCGUCGGACUUCUAACCCGGGCAGCCUGGCUGUGUGGGGGAGACAUCCGACGGUCGCGGGUUCAAAUCCCGUCGUGCCCG
Halodesulfurarchaeum formicicum is the source of this 105-nucleotide transfer RNA. It matches the Rfam family "tRNA". Rfam says of the family: Transfer RNA (tRNA) molecules are approximately 80 nucleotides in length. Their secondary structure includes four short double-helical elements and three loops (D, anti-codon, and T loops). Further hydrogen bonds mediate the characteristic L-shaped molecular structure. tRNAs have two regions of fundamental functional importance: the anti-codon, which is responsible for specific mRNA codon recognition, and the 3' end, to which the tRNAs corresponding amino acid is attached (by aminoacyl-tRNA synthetases). tRNAs cope with the degeneracy of the genetic code in two manners: having more than one tRNA (with a specific anti-codon) for a particular amino acid; and 'wobble' base-pairing, i.e. permitting non-standard base-pairing at the 3rd anti-codon position. The record is from Rfam. Lineage: Archaea; Methanobacteriati; Methanobacteriota; Halobacteria; Halobacteriales; Halobacteriaceae.